Molecule: non-coding RNA, 472 nt
Organism: Monodelphis domestica (gray short-tailed opossum)
Lineage: Eukaryota; Metazoa; Chordata; Mammalia; Didelphimorphia; Didelphidae
Source: RefSeq, a predicted model, not a curated record
CAUUCUUCCAGACACUUCAGGUUUGCAACCUUCCAGUCAUCCUUCUGGGCCUCAUUUCCCACCCUCCCCCAAAUAGGAACACUGUGUGAUUUCAUAGAUGAAAGGAGUUCCAUUACAGGAAUAACCUCUCCAGUGAGCAUUGGAAUAAUGCUCUGACCCUACACAAUAAAGAAAAAUGAGAUCAAAAAAGAUCAUGCAACACAGGAAGAUCUUGGUAAUGAAACUACUAACAAGGAAAGCAAGGGAUAAAUGAGAUUAUCUUGGAAUGCAAAACCCAAUACUUUCAUUUCGUAGAAAUGCUUGAUAACAAAAAACAGUGAAAUAAAACAAGCCUCCCAUUCAAUGUUUUGAUUUAAAAUCAAAGAUGAUUUAAAUUUUUCCAGAAAGUCUUUUUCCAAUCACUGAAUUGGUCACACACUGCCAACAAUGACUUAUCACGGCUGAAUGUCAUUAAACCCUGGUUUAAAAUGAA